Molecule: ribosomal RNA, 253 nt
Filed under: uncultured bacterium
Lineage: Bacteria
Description: partial 16S ribosomal RNA
Rfam family: Bacterial small subunit ribosomal RNA
Source: RNAcentral
UACAGAGGGGGCAAGCGUUGUUCGGAAUUACUGGGCGUAAAUUGCGCGUAGGCGGCCUGUUAAGUCGGACGUGAAAUCCCUCGGCUCAACCGGGGAACUGCGUCCGAAACUGGCGGGCUUGAAUUCGGGAGAGGGAUGUGGAAUUCCAGGUGUAGCGGUGAAAUGCGUAGAUAUCUGGAGGAACACCGGUGGCGAAGGCGGCAUCCUGGACCGACAUUGACGCUGAGGCGCGAAAGCCAGGGGAGCAAACGGG